Small nucleolar RNA from Meriones unguiculatus (Mongolian gerbil), 132 nucleotides. NCBI's taxonomy places the organism in Eukaryota, Metazoa, Chordata, Mammalia, Rodentia, Muridae. The record is from Ensembl.
CCUGCCCCUAGAGGCAUUGCAGGUGUGGCUGCCUUGUCAUGUGUGUGUCAGUAGGCGGCAGAGGGGAGAGAGGCUGUGUCUAUUCUCAGUGUUCUGACCUAUGAACAUCUGAAUGACUAGUGGUCUAACAUU